AGAUUGAACGCUGGCGGCAGGCCUAACACAUGCAAGUCGAGCGGUAGAGAGGUGCUUGCAUCUCUUGAGAGCGGCGGACGGGUGAGUAAUGCCUAGGAAUCUGCCUAGUGGUGGGGGAUAACGUUCGGAAACGGACGCUAAUACCGCAUACGUCCUACGGGAGAAAGCGGGGGACCUUCGGGCCUCGCGCCAUUAGAUGAGCCUAGGUCGGAUUAGCUAGUUGGUGAGGUAAUGGCUCACCAAGGCGACGAUCCGUAACUGGUCUGAGAGGAUGAUCAGUCACACUGGACUGAGACACGGUCCAGACUCCUACGGGAGCAGCGAGUAGGGGUAAUAG
RNAcentral lists this ribosomal RNA (337 nucleotides) under uncultured soil bacterium. RNAcentral's name for it is "bacterial SSU rRNA". It matches the Rfam family "Bacterial small subunit ribosomal RNA", at positions 26 to 366 of the family's 1533-position model. The record is from RNAcentral.